This 180-nucleotide non-coding RNA is filed under the name Clostridium saccharobutylicum. RNAcentral's name for it is "T-box sequence". It matches the Rfam family "T-box leader". From Rfam's summary of the family: Uncharged tRNA acts as the effector for transcription antitermination of genes in the T-box leader family. T-boxes are found upstream of many aminoacyl-tRNA synthetase genes and some amino acid biosynthetic genes usually in Gram-positive bacteria. Lineage: Bacteria; Bacillati; Bacillota; Clostridia; Eubacteriales; Clostridiaceae. The record is from RNAcentral.
UAAAGUGCUAUGAUGAAGAAUAGUAAAAGUCAAAUUUAAGAGAAAAAGUCCAUAGGCUGUAAGGCUUUUAACAGACUUUGAACCAGCUUCGGAGCAAUAGGAAAAAACUAUCGGUUUAAUACCGUUAUCAUUAUUAGAGAACAAAUUUAGGUGGUACCGCGAUUGAAAUUCGCCCUAAUU